This 481-nucleotide ribosomal RNA is filed under the name uncultured bacterium. RNAcentral describes it as "partial 16S ribosomal RNA". It matches the Rfam family "Bacterial small subunit ribosomal RNA", at positions 28 to 507 of the family's 1533-position model. The record is from RNAcentral.
GAUGAACGCUGGCGGCGUGCCUAACACAUGCAAGCCGAACGGAGAUUACGGACGGAAGUUUUCGGAUGGAAGCCUGUAAUUCUUAGUGGCGGACGGGUGAGUAACGCGUGGGCAACCUGCCCUAUACAGGGGGAUAGCAGCUGGAAACGGCUGGUAAGACCGCAUAAGUCGGUUAAAUCGCAUGAUUUGAUCGGGAAAUGAGCAAUCAGGUAUAGGAUGGGCCCGCGUCCGAUUAGCCAGUUGGCAGGGUAAAAGCCUACCAAAGCGACGAUCGGUAGCCGGACUGAGAGGUCGGACGGCCACAUUGGGACUGAGACACGGCCCAAACUCCUACGGGAGGCAGCAGUGGGGGAUAUUGCACAAUGGAGGAAACUCUGAUGCAGCGACGCCGCGUGAGUGAAGAAGUAUUUCGGUAUGUAAAGCUCUAUCAGCAGGGAAGAUGAUGACGGUACCUGACUAAGAAGCCCCGGCUAACUACGUG